This 206-nucleotide ribosomal RNA is filed under the name uncultured bacterium. RNAcentral describes it as "partial 16S ribosomal RNA". It matches the Rfam family "Bacterial small subunit ribosomal RNA", at positions 568 to 774 of the family's 1533-position model. The record is from RNAcentral.
CGCGUAGGCGGCCAUUCAAGUCGGGGGUGAAAGCCUGUGGCUCAACCACAGAAUUGCCUUCGAUACUGUUUGGCUUGAGUAUGGUAGAGGUCAGUGGAACUGCGAGUGUAGAGGUGAAAUUCGUAGAUAUUCGCAAGAACACCAGUGGCGAAGGCGGCUGACUGGACCAUUACUGACGCUGGGGCGCGAAAGCGUGGGAGCAAACA